GCUCCGUUGGUGAACCAGCGGAGGGAUCAUACCGAGUUUACAACUCCCAAACCCCAUGUGAACCUUACCAAACGUUGCUUCGGCGGGAUGCCCCGGGCGCGGGCCGCAAGGCCUCAGCCCCGGAACCAGGCGCCCGCCGGAGGCCCAAACCAAACUCUUGUUUUUGUAGAAUCUUCUGAGUGGCCUUUUAGGCAAAAAAUGAAUCAAAACUUUCAACAACAGAUCUCUUGGUUCUG
Molecule: unclassified non-coding RNA, 236 nt
Filed under: plant metagenome
Description: partial contains small subunit ribosomal RNA, internal transcribed spacer 1, and 5.8S ribosomal RNA
Source: RNAcentral